AGAGUACUCCCUCCGUCCGGAAAUACUUGUCCAAGAAAUGGAUGAAUCUGGAUUUAUUUUAGUUAUACAUACAUUGAUUAUAUCCAUUUUUAGGACAAGUAUUUCUGGAGGGAGGGAGUAUAUC
This is a non-coding RNA of Hordeum vulgare subsp. vulgare (domesticated barley), 124 nucleotides long. NCBI's taxonomy places the organism in Eukaryota, Viridiplantae, Streptophyta, Magnoliopsida, Poales, Poaceae. The record is from Rfam.